This 430-nucleotide ribosomal RNA is filed under the name Bacteroidota bacterium. RNAcentral describes it as "Bacteroidetes bacterium partial 16S ribosomal RNA". It matches the Rfam family "Bacterial small subunit ribosomal RNA", at positions 355 to 776 of the family's 1533-position model. The record is from RNAcentral. Lineage: Bacteria; Pseudomonadati; Bacteroidota.
UAGGGAAUCUUCGGCAAUGGGGGGAACCCUGACCGAGCAACGCCGCGUGAGUGAAGAAGGUUUUCGGAUCGUAAAGCUCUGUUGUUAAGGAAGAACGAGUGUGAGAAUGGAAAGUUCAUACUGUGACGGUAUCUAACCAGAAAGCCACGGCUAACUACGUGCCAGCAGCCGCGGUAAUACGUAGGUGGCAAGCGUUGUCCGGAUUUAUUGGGCGUAAAGCGAGCGCAGGCGGUCAAUUAAGUCUGAUGUGAAAGCCCCCGGCUCAACCGGGGAGGGUCAUUGGAAACUGGUUGACUUGAGUGCAGAAGAGGAGAGUGGAAUUCCAUGUGUAGCGGUGAAAUGCGUAGAUAUAUGGAGGAACACCAGUGGCGAAGGCGACUCUCUGGUCUGUAACUGACGCUGAGGCUCGAAAGCGUGGGUAGCAAACAGG